AUUCCAGGUAUGGUGACAUGGUGCCAAAGACAAUAGCUGGGAAGAUAUUCGGAUCAAUAUGUUCUUUGAGUGGAGUCUUAGUUAUUGCCCUUCCAGUUCCAGUCAUUGUCUCCAAU
This is a regulatory RNA element of Anolis carolinensis (green anole), 116 nucleotides long. It matches the Rfam family "Potassium channel RNA editing signal". From Rfam's summary of the family: This family represents a group of sequences related to the human potassium channel Kv1.1 hairpin element which directs the efficient modification of an adenosine to inosine by an adenosine deaminase acting on RNA (ADAR). NCBI's taxonomy places the organism in Eukaryota, Metazoa, Chordata, Lepidosauria, Squamata, Anolidae. The record is from Rfam.